Molecule: transfer RNA, 62 nt
Filed under: Dipodomys ordii (Ord's kangaroo rat)
Lineage: Eukaryota; Metazoa; Chordata; Mammalia; Rodentia; Heteromyidae
Rfam family: tRNA
About the family: Transfer RNA (tRNA) molecules are approximately 80 nucleotides in length. Their secondary structure includes four short double-helical elements and three loops (D, anti-codon, and T loops).
Source: Rfam by way of RNAcentral
GGGAAGGUGGCUCAGUGGUAGAGUGCUUGCCUUGCAUGCAUGAGACCCUGGAUUCAUUUCCU